AUUGAACGCUGGCGGCAGGCCUAACACAUGCAAGUCGAGCGGAUGAAGGGAGCUUGCUCCUGGAUUCAGCGGCGGACGGGUGAGUAAUGCCUAGGAAUCUGCCUGGUAGUGGGGGAUAACGUCCGGAAACGGGCGCUAAUACCGCAUACGUCCUGAGGGAGAAAGUGGGGGUUCUUCGGACCUCACGCUAUCAGAUGAGCCUAGGUCGGAUUAGCUAGUUGGUGGGGUAAAGGCCUACCAAGGCGACGAUCCGUAACUGGUCUGAGAGGAUGAUCAGUCACACUGGAACUGAGACACGGUCCAGACUCCUACGGGAGGCAGCAGUGGGGAAUAUUGUACAAUGGGCGAAAGCCUGAUCCAGCCAUGCCGCGUGUGUGAAGAAGGUCUUCGGAUUGUAAAGCACUUUAAGUUGGGAGGAAGGGCAGUAAGUUAAUACCUUGCUGUUUUGACGUUACCAACAGAAUAAGCACCGGCUAACUUCGUG
RNAcentral lists this ribosomal RNA (484 nucleotides) under uncultured bacterium. RNAcentral's name for it is "partial 16S ribosomal RNA". It matches the Rfam family "Bacterial small subunit ribosomal RNA", at positions 30 to 507 of the family's 1533-position model. The record is from RNAcentral.